GACGAACGCUGGCGGCGUGCUUAACACAUGCAAGUCGAGCGGUAAGGCUCCUUCGGGAGUACACGAGCGGCGAACGGGUGAGUAACACGUGAGCAAUCUGCCCUUCUCAUCGGAAUAACCAUUGGAAACGAUGGCUAAUGCCGAAUACGACUUCCUUUCGCAUGUCAGGAAGUGGAAAGCUCCGGCGGAGAAGGAUGAGCUCGCGGCCUAUCAGCUUGUUGGUGAGGUAAUGGCUCACCAAGGCGACGACGGGUAGCCGGCCUGAGAGGGUGACCGGCCAAGCUGGGACUGAGACACGGCCCAGACUCCUACGGGAGGCAGCAGUGGGGAAUAUUGGACAAUGGGCGAAAGCCUGAUCCAGCAACGCCGCGUGAGGGAUGACGGCCUUCGGGUUGUAAACCUCUUUCAGCAGGGACGAAGCGAAAGUGACGGUACCUGCGGAAGAAGGACCGGCCAACUACGUGCCAGCCGCCGCCGUAA
RNAcentral lists this ribosomal RNA (480 nucleotides) under uncultured bacterium. RNAcentral describes it as "partial 16S ribosomal RNA". It matches the Rfam family "Bacterial small subunit ribosomal RNA", at positions 28 to 523 of the family's 1533-position model. The record is from RNAcentral.